AUCUGUUGAGGAUGAUGGCGG
Molecule: non-coding RNA, 21 nt
Filed under: Arabidopsis thaliana (thale cress)
Lineage: Eukaryota; Viridiplantae; Streptophyta; Magnoliopsida; Brassicales; Brassicaceae
Source: RNAcentral